This 440-nucleotide ribosomal RNA is filed under the name uncultured bacterium. RNAcentral's name for it is "bacterial SSU rRNA". It matches the Rfam family "Bacterial small subunit ribosomal RNA", at positions 958 to 1387 of the family's 1533-position model. The record is from RNAcentral.
AACGCGAAGAACCUUACCUGGGCUCGAAGCGCAGUGGACCGGGGUAGAAAUAUCCCUUCCCCUUAAAAGGCUGCUGCGGAGGUGCUGCAUGGCUGUCGUCAGCUCGUGUCGUGAGAUGUUGGGUUAAGUCCCGCAACGAGCGCAACCCUUAUCUUCAGUUGCUACCAUUUAGUUGAGCACUCUGACGAAACCGCCUCGGAUAACGGGGAGGAAGGUGGGGAUGACGUCAAGUCCUCAUGGCCUUUAUGUCCAGGGCUACACACGUGCUACAAUGGCCGGUACAAACCGUCGCAAACCCGUGAGGGGGAGCUAAUCGGAAAAAGCCGGCCUCAGUUCGGAUUAGAGUCUGCAACUCGACUCUAUGAAGCUGGAAUCGCUAGUAAUCGCGGAUCAGAAUGCCGCGGUGAAUACGUUCCCGGGCCUUGUACAACCGAGACGAC